This 542-nucleotide transfer RNA is filed under the name uncultured cyanobacterium. RNAcentral describes it as "partial miscellaneous RNA". The stretch from base 212 to 284 matches the Rfam family "tRNA". The record is from RNAcentral. Lineage: Bacteria; Bacillati; Cyanobacteriota.
CAGGGAGACAACAUAAUGUUUAAUAUUAUUAUUUUGUCACCUUAGGUCGAUCGGUAUCUCACGUUUUUAAUUUAUUAAAAAUUUCAUUUCCUAAGUUUUUCUAGGUCACACCCAUUAUUUUUCCUGGGCCAUUAGCUCAGGUGGUUAGAGCGCACCCCUGAUAAGGGUGAGGUCCCUGGUUCAAGUCCAGGAUGGCCCAUAUCUCUAUGUUGGGGGUAUAGCUCAGUUGGUAGAGCGCCUGCUUUGCAAGCAGGAUGUCAGCGGUUCGAGUCCGCUUACCUCCACUGAUUACCACCUCUUCCAUAACCGGUAGAAAGGAAAUGUAUUGAGUUGUGAUCAAAUUCUGAAAGAAUCUAGCUUCCUAAUGAAAACCAUUAAGAUGCUGGACUCAUUGAAUUAAUUUCAUUGUUUUCAGAGAACCUUGACAACUGCAUAGAUUAUUUUUAAAGACAAUAAGCAUCUUUAAUGAUGCAGAUUUAUUACUUGUGCAAAUGCAUUAAUAACAAUUCUAUUAAGCUGAUGCUUCAAUUUUUGAAGUUAUU